CCUUAAAGAACCUGCCUUUGCAGUGCUCACACAGAUUGUCUGAUGAAAAACAGCAGUAAAAACCUCUACAGGCUUGUAGCUCAGGUGGUUAGAGCGCACCCCUGAUAAGGGUGAGGUCGGUGGUUCAAGUCCACUCAGGCCUACCAAAUUUGCGAAGCAAAUUUGAAGAGGUUGCAAACGAUGGGGCUAUAGCUCAGCUGGGAGAGCGCCUGCUUUGCACGCAGGAGGUCUGCGGUUCGAUCCCGCAUAGCUCCACCAUCUUUACUGCGAACACAAGAAAACUUCAGAGUGAACCUGAAAAGGUGCACUGCGAAGUUUUGCUCUUUAAAAAUCUGGAUCAAGCUGAAAAUUGAAACGACACACAGUUAAUGUGUGUUCGAGUCUCUCAAGUUUUCGCAAUCAGAAGUGAAACAUCUUCGGGUUGUGA
Molecule: unclassified non-coding RNA, 427 nt
Filed under: Klebsiella pneumoniae subsp. pneumoniae
Lineage: Bacteria; Pseudomonadati; Pseudomonadota; Gammaproteobacteria; Enterobacterales; Enterobacteriaceae
Description: partial 16S-23S ribosomal RNA intergenic spacer
Rfam family: Salmonella enterica Typhi npcRNA 44 (bases 323-420)
Source: RNAcentral